Molecule: ribosomal RNA, 564 nt
Filed under: Hanseniaspora opuntiae
Lineage: Eukaryota; Fungi; Ascomycota; Saccharomycetes; Saccharomycodales; Saccharomycodaceae
Description: partial large subunit ribosomal RNA
Rfam family: Eukaryotic large subunit ribosomal RNA
Source: RNAcentral
AUACCUUAGUACGGCGAGUGAGCGGUAAAAGCUCAAAUUUGAAAUCUGGUACUUUCAGUGCCCGAGUUGUAAUUUGUAGAAUUUGUCUUUGAUUAGGUCCUUGUCUAUGUUCCUUGGAACAGGACGUCAUAGAGGGUGAGAAUCCCGUUUGGCGAGGAUACCUUUUCUCUGUAAGACUUUUUCGAAGAGUCGAGUUGUUUGGGAAUGCAGCUCAAAGUGGGUGGUAAAUUCCAUCUAAAGCUAAAUAUUGGCGAGAGACCGAUAGCGAACAAGUACAGUGAUGGAAAGAUGAAAAGAACUUUGAAAAGAGAGUGAAAAAGUACGUGAAAUUGUUGAAAGGGAAGGGCAUUUGAUCAGACAUGGUGUUUUUUGCAUGCACUCGCCUCUCGUGGGCUUGGGCCUCUCAAAAAUUUCACUGGGCCAACAUCAAUUCUGGCAGUAGGAUAAAUCAUUAAGAAUGUAGCUACCUCGGUAGUGUUAUAGCUUAUUGGAAUACUGCUAGCUGGGAUUGAGGACUGCGCUUCGGCAAGGAUGUUGGCAUAAUGGUUAAAUGCCGCCCGUCUU